This 1105-nucleotide long non-coding RNA is filed under the name Lonchura striata (white-rumped munia). RNAcentral describes it as "domestica (Bengalese finch) lncRNA (ENSLSDG00000002780.1)". Lineage: Eukaryota; Metazoa; Chordata; Aves; Passeriformes; Estrildidae. The record is from RNAcentral.
GCUUUUUUUGGGGUUUUUUUGGUGAUUUUUGGGGUUUUUUUUGGUGUUUUUUUAGGGUUUUUAUGAGCUUUUUUUGGGGUUUUUUUGGUGAUUUUUGGUGUUUUUUUGAUGAUCUUUGGGUUUUUUUGAGCUUUUUUUAAUGGUCUUUUUGGGCCUUUUUUGGUGGUUUUUGGGUCAUUUUGUGCUGGAGGCGGGGGAUGUUUUUGGGGUAUUUCUGGAUAUUUUUGGGAUAAUUUUGGGGUAUUUUUGGGAUAUUUUGGGGUAUUUUUGGGAUAUUUUUGGGUAUUUUUGGGAUAUUUUUGGGUUAUUUUUGGAUAUUUUGGGACAUUUUGGGUGUCACAGCAUUUGCAGCCGGGCUGGGCGGAAUCAGGGAGCUGGAGGUGGGGGAUGUUUUUGGGAUAUUUUGGGAUAUUUUGGGAUAUUUUGGGAUAAUUUUGGGAUAUUUUUGGGAUAUUUUUGGGAUAUUUUGGGAUAUUUUUUGGAUAUUUUGGGAUAUUUUGGGGGUCACUCACAGCGUUGGCAGCCGGGCUGGGCGGGAUCGGGGAGCUGGACGUGGUGGAUGUUUCUGGGAUAUUUUAGGGAUAUUUUGGGAUAUUUUUGGGAUAAUUUUUGGAUAAUUUUGGGAUAUUUUGGGGGUCACUCACAGCGUUGGCAGCCGGGCUGGGCGGGAUCGGGGAGCUGGAGGCGGGGGAUGUUUUUGGGAUAUUUUGGGAUAAUUUUUGGAUAAUUUUGGGAUAUUUUGGGGGUCACUCACAGCAUUUGCAGCCGGGCUGGGCGGGAUCGGGGAGCUGGAGGCGGGGGAUGUUUCUGGGGUAUUUUUGGGAUAUUUUGGGAUAUUUCUGGAUAAUUUUUGGAUAAUUUUUGGAUAUUUUGGGGGUCACUCACAGCGUUGGCAGCCGGGCUGGGCGGGAUCGGGGAGCUGGACGUGGUGGAGGUCGGGGUGCUGCUGCUCUGGUUGAAGAUCUCGUCCUCCAUCUGGGAGUGGCUGGGGGGGGACGUGGCCACCAGAGCCUGCGCUGGGGGGGCACGGGGGGGUCACCCUGAGCAUCCCCCCCCCCCAAAAACCCCCCGGAACCCCCCGACUUCCUCCCCAAAAAAAUCCCCU